This is a long non-coding RNA of Notolabrus celidotus (New Zealand spotty), 981 nucleotides long. RefSeq lists it as uncharacterized. NCBI's taxonomy places the organism in Eukaryota, Metazoa, Chordata, Actinopteri, Labriformes, Labridae. The record is from RefSeq and is a predicted model, not a curated record. The transcript has 2 exons.
UUUGGUGAUCAGGUCAGUGAUUUGUCUUCCCUAAGUAUAUUUAAAGAUUUUGAUAAGUGUAUCUAUCGUUAAUGCCAUCCAGUGCAGUUGAAAAUGUUGAUAUGAGCAGUAUUAAUACUUAGACAACUUGCAGAGACUUUGCUGUGCUUUAUGCCUGUAACUUGUUUGAUCUGGAGUUUAAUGACCACAUCAUUGUAACACUUUUCAGUUUUUUGUAGAAGCAUCACUUAAUCAUACUGUCGUGUCUGGUCGUUAUGUUAAGUUUGCACCUUUUACUUCAGUCUUGUCUUUCAUGUUUGUCAUGCCUACUUUUAUUUUGUAGUCCUGUCUCUCCUCUCGUUUCAGGUAACUUCACUUCCUGUCCUGUUAUUUUCCCGAGGUUGUGAUUGUCGUCCCUGCCCCUCAUUGUUUCCACCUGUGCCCCAUUACCUCCUGUAUAAAAGUCUGUGUCUUCCCCUGUCCUGUGCCAGAUCGUCGUGUCUUUUGACUUUUAAAGGAAGAGGACUAACUACAGGCUCGGCAGACUGCUGUCUCAGUUGAAAAAGAUGUGGAGACAACAGCGGAGACCAGUGUGGAGCACAUGAUUUUACAGGAGAGGCAGCAGGAUGCGUCCAGGCUAACCAGCAUGCAUUCUCAGCUGAGGUGGCACUGCCUGCUGUUCUGAAGAUGGAGGAAGAGGAGCUUGCAGAGGCUGUGCAGCAGUUUGGAAAGGUUUGGGAGGAAAAAAAUGAGGAAGGCCUUGACCACCAUGUGAAAGAAUCAAUUUUGGAGGAAAACAAGUUUGUUUUUUACGACAUGGAAGAUUUGUGAAGAGAUUAUAGAUAGCAGAGGGUGUUCGGUAGACUGUGAAUGCUGGGUGCAUCACAAGUAAUGACAGGGUUGCCAAAAUUAAUUCAGAAAAUGUCUCAGAACCAAGGCUGACUUUGAUUGAGAAGUACUGCUCUUGUAUAAAUAUGCCUAAUAAAAUGUAACAGAACCUCA